GCCUUGAUAGUGUAGUGGUUAUGUUGCCUCAGUUUAUGUAAGUCAUACCUGAGGUAUGCCGGAGGACGUCAUGAGUUCGAAUCACGCUCGACGCA
Russula dissimulans is the source of this 95-nucleotide non-coding RNA. NCBI's taxonomy places the organism in Eukaryota, Fungi, Basidiomycota, Agaricomycetes, Russulales, Russulaceae. The record is from the annotation of a GenBank genome assembly.